CCCUACAAUCUUUUUUUUUUUUUUUUUUUUUUUAAUGUAUUUUCUAAGAGGUACAACAAGGGCUAAAUAGCACCACAAUCAUGAAACCAGACUUAAACUUUAACAAGCUCAGGUACAAACACACUUAAACACCAGAGGUCAGAGUUACUGUUUCUGAUCAAUCUGAUCAAAAUUUUGCUGAGGUGAAAGGAAAUACAGUGUGAACAGAAUCAGGCGAGUCCACUUCACUCAGGCUGCAACAAAUCUCUCAAAAUGAAGUAUGAAGGUGUUGAAGUUCACAGCUGACAUAAUGACAUGGUGUCUGUAGCACACAGCUUGUUUUGAUAUAAGCAGUCUACCCUAUAUUUAGCUCGUCAUGCUACAUAUGUGAUUAGCAAAGCUACAUAUGUCAUUAGCUAAGGACGCUAGGCCUUCGACCUACGCCAUAGUUUACACCAGUCAUUAGCUGAGCGUUAGGUCUUCAUUUUCACCAUCGCUGUGAAUUGGUUUAGUGUGUUAGCCCUUCAUCUAACAUCAGUGAUUAGCUUAGAUAGUGGUAGCUUCUAAUUCUAUGUGUGUUAGUGUUUUAUUCUACAUUAGCGAUUACCUCAGAGUGUUAGUGUUUUAUUCUACAUUAGAGAUUACCUCAGUGUUAGUGUUUUAUUCUACAUUUGCGAUUACCUCAUUAGUGAUUACCUCAGUGUUAGUGUUUUAUUCUACAUUAGAGACUACCUCAGAGUGUUAGUGUUAUAUUCUACAUUAGAGAUUACCUCAGUGUUAGUAUUUUAUUCUACAUUAGAAAUUACCUCAGAGUGUUAGUGUUUUAUUCUACAUUAGAGAUUACCUCAGAGUGUUAUGUUUUUUUUCUACAUCAGUUAUUAGCAUAGCCUGUUAGCAUUUCCUACCUCAGCCAUAAGGGGCUUAAAAUGGUGUCAAAUGCAUCAUAGGCACUUGAAUUUACUGUGUUCCUUGUUUCUCAAAAGAGUUUCUCAAGGCUUGGUUUUGUUUCUAUAUGUGCAGUAGAAAAACUGCCCUAACUGGACUUUGUGCAUUGUUUACCACUGACCUGUGAGGUGAUGUUAUCUCCUUAUUCCACGCUCAUAUCUAAUCUAACCCUCAUUUUUCAAAGUUUUGCAACAAGUAUUGUUAUCGGAAUUGAUCACUAAUGUCAUAUCAGAAAUCGCAGGCCAGUAUGUUGAAAUCCGUGUGUGUGUGUGAGAGUGUGUGUGUGAAGCUCAUGUUCUUAUGCGCCUGUUUUUCUUUAAAAACAAUGAUCUCACUUUUCCGAGAAUCCUGGCUCUGGGUUUGCGUCUGUGUGUUUUAUCACAUGUUCCCUCUUGUCUGAUCUAUAAUCAGUGUCAGUUCCAUAAAAUCUUCAAGCAGGCCCC
Molecule: long non-coding RNA, 1367 nt
Organism: Ictalurus punctatus (channel catfish)
Lineage: Eukaryota; Metazoa; Chordata; Actinopteri; Siluriformes; Ictaluridae
Source: Ensembl